GCCUCGGCUGGGGAAGUUCUCCCGGCCUUCAGUACCCGCAACUGCCGCCAGCCUGACUACCCGAUUACUGGUCCGAAGCUGGACUGCCCGGAGUUUCCUUACCAGCCCAACUACCGAACUACCUGGUUCUCCUACUCACCCAUCGCGACUCCGCACGCUCAGACUUGGCCGCGGCAGCGGCAGUAGCGGCGGCGGGGGCGGCAGCUUCGGAGGCAGCUUCAGCAAACAAUAUGGCGGAUCUGCAGGACGGCAGCCCGAAACGGACAAACAUUGCAAGCCUGGUUGAAACGCGUUGUUUCUCCCCACCCCUUCUUACCUAGUUUAUACCAAAGGCACACACUUAAAGAGAACGCAGCCACUGAUGAUGGCAGACGGAUACGUACUAAAGAAAGUUAAGUGUGCCAAGUUCGCAACUGUUUCUACCACUGUUUCUUCUUUAUAGUAUGACCUCCUUCUCCCCAAAAUUUUUUCAUAAUUAAAGCCAACUAUACACUUUCAGCUAAUUAUGAAUAUAGAAUCAUCUGGCAAGGAGAAGUGAGUUGCUCAAGGCUAUGAGAGACAAGGAAUGGAAGAAGUCAAGAUUAAACCCAAAUUCUUAGUGUGUCUACCACCCAAAACCCUAAAAUUGUAAUUUUAGGCUACGCGUGGUUGUGAAUGUCUAUAAUCCCAACACUGAGGAGGUUGAGGCAGGAGGAUCACAAAUUCAUGCCAGCAAGACCACUGUAUUUCCAGCACCUGGUACAUUAUCCAACACUUGGUUGUUGAAUAAACAAAUAAAUGAAUGAGAGGAUGAGUUAAAGAGUAAGGGAUAUAAUCCUUUUUUAAUGAUAAGGAAAUUGAGGCUCCCAAUGUUCAUGUGCCUUUUGAAUCAAUUAAUUUAUGGUCUUCCAAGGUUUUUUUGUCUUUUUGAGACAGGGUCUUGCUAUGCAGUUCAGGUUGGCCUUGUGCUCACUUUGUAGCCCAGGCUGGUCUCAAACUUGCAAUGAUCCUCCUGCAUAAGCCUCUGAGUGCUGGGAUUACAGACAUGUACCACUAUGAGUGGUUAGGCCUUCCUUUUUGCACAGUGACAUGCCAACCCUGCAGUCUUCCACCUCGACACACAGAGCCAGGCAAUAUUGUCAAUUCACUGAUCCCAAAACAGUCAACAUCCCCACCCACUUCAGGGUGCUGGCAUUCAAUUCAUAACCUUCCUGAGUGCUGGUAAUAUGUAAUUAUAUUAUGGCAUAUCAGGCUAUGUGCCACAAUGCCAACUACCAUUGGAGACAGAAUAAUGAAGGACCUGAUAUCUAGUUCUAUCAUAAUUUGCCAACUCUAGUUGGAUGCCUGGUCUAUUAAAGGAGACAACACAAAAGGCAAAUUCUGAGUCAAAGGUAGGAAAAGAAAGACUACUUCUUUUCCCUGCUACUGCUCAAGGUCGGACCUCAUCAUUCUAUUUAGUCUGUCCCUUCAUAGGUCUCUUGUCCUGACUCUACCACUCCCACCUAUUUCCUUAAAAACAGAGACCGCAUAUGGUCACUUCUCUUCUUAGCAACUUCCCACUGCCUGUUCUUGGGUAAUGUCCACAUAUUUCAAUCAGUCAUAUAGGCUAGUCCUUGUCAGUACCACUUUCUGAAUAUGCUAUCUUCUUUUGUGCUUUUAUUAUUUUGUUACCUGUUCAAAUGCAGUGAUCUCCCCCGCCUUGACCACGUAGAGCUAUUCAUUUUCAAGACAAAAUUAACAGUUAGCUCUCCAAAGAAUCCUGUCUUCCCUUCUUCCCCAGUGUCCUGACACUUAAAAAAUUGUUUAUUGGCAUAUGUAUAUAUAUAUAUAUAUUUCAUCAUAGAGAAUUUGUACCUGUUUUUCCCAUUCCCCUACCUGCCUUUCACCUAUUCCCUUAUUUACAAAAGGUGGUUCCAUUUUUUCUUUUCUCACUUUUUUCUUUCCCCUUCCAUCUUCCCUUUCCACCCCCUUUCCAAGAUACCCUUCUCAUUUGAACAUUUUCUUAUUACAUGAUACAUAUUAUACAUUUUGGUCCUUAUUUACACUUCUGGUUUUGUACACCAGAGAAACAAUGUAGUAUUUACACAUGUGGUUGGAUACUUGUUUUCCUUAGCACUUCACACUUUAAUUAGUUCACAAGGUGUGUCCAUCUCUCCCAGUUGUCUAAGGGAGGGAUGAAACCUUCUGUCUUUGUAAUUAUUCCAAUAUUUAGUACACUGUCUGCUUGAAGGUACCAAAAAACUGUUGAGGUACCUGUUUCCAAUCCAACACCGAGCUCAUCUGUGUACACUGUGGCCAUUAAGAGCUCAGGGAAUGGGGCUGGGGAUUUAGCUCAGUGGCAUAAGCUCCUGCCUUGCAAGUGUGUGGUAGUGAGUUCGAUCCCUGGUACCAAUAAAAAAGAAAAAGACAAAAAAAAAAAAAAAAAAGUAAAAGAAAAGAACUCAGGGAAUGUGGACUAUAUGGUCUGCAUUUCCUCCUUCCAGUUCCUGAACCGUUCAUCUGCUGACAGAAGCUUCUAAACAUUUGUCUGUUCUUGUAGUGCUGGGAAAAAUCUAGGACAUAGCACAUACUGGGCAAGCACUACCACUAAGCCACACUCCCCAUAUCUUUUAUUUUGACACAAGGUCUCAUUAAAUUAUACAAGCUAGUCUCAAACUAGUGGUCCUCCUGCUUUGGCUGCCUGAGUAGGUGAGAAUACAGGUAGGCCCCCAUCAAGCUGCGGUCUAGAGGCCGCUUUGUUUCCACUGUAGCAUUUGACCCUAGAUAUACACUGUCCCUAGCCUCGGGCCGUUGGUCUUCCCUACCCAGCCUCUGGCUGAUCUUUUCAGCCACAUCUUUACCCUUCUUUCCUUAUCCUUUCUACUCCAGGAACCACAAUCCUCUUCAUCUCCCCAAACACAGACUACUGCAGGUGCCCUUUUUUUCUUCUUGGAAUGCCUUUCCUCUUGUCCACCUGUGAAGUGACUAAUACAACUUAGACUAGUGGCUCCUCCAAGGAGGCCCGAGAGCACUAGCCAUUCAUCCACUCCCUGUGCUACUCUGUACUGUACUCAGUUCAGCAUAGUAUUGCUUGCGUUUUAAGAUCCUCACCCGCUAAAUAAUACCUAGCACACAAGACUGUAGUAACUAUACUCUGUGAGUGUGAAGACAUCAUGUUUUCUAGGACAGGUAAUCAGCUUUCAGUUGUGUUUUUAAAGCCCAGCUCUACCACUUCCUAGCUGUGUUACCAAGGGCAGGCAAAUCAGUAUAGCUCUCAGUAUAGCUCACUGGACUCUAGCUCAAAUCUAUAGUAGUGACUGCACACACCUACUAGAGUUGUUAUAAGUUAGAUUGACAAAGUAUAAAAAUAUGCAGAGCAGCCUCUAGCACGCAGCAAACAUUCAGUCAGCAUCAUUAAUUACUACCAUGGGCACUGAUGCUCCCCCACUCUGUCCACUGGGAAGGCAGGGCCUACAGAAUCCUAGGAGUCACAUACAGAGCGUCCCAGCCCCAAAUUCCACCUUCUGGACUUUACCUGACAGUCAAAAAGGGAAAGAAACACAGCACACAGGAUUGUUGGGAGUAUAAAAAUAAGACUUUUUUUCUUUUUAUCACAUCAAUUAUCAAAGAAACAGUACGUAACAAAAAUACAAAGCUCUGGUGGGUUUUUUUUUGUUUGUUUUAGUUUUUCUCCCUAUUCAAUUCUGCAACAGCCCCUUGCCAGGGAGUCCCUGGCCGAAGCCUGGAUGCUGUCCCUGAGGUCACCUGGGUGCUCAGGAGAACCGAUGGUCCAGGUCUCUCUGGGGGCUGGCUGAGUACGAGUAGGCCUUGCCCAAUACCAGGCGGUCCCGUAGCAGCUUGAAGAAGGCAUAGUAGUUGCUGAAGAGGAUGAGAGCCAGUGAGAUGGUCUGGUGCCACUUUUCAGAGGACAUUAAGGAGUACAGCUGGUAGACAAUGACAGCGCCCUCCAGCAGCAGGAGGAUGUUGAGGAUCCUCAGGGGUUUGCUGAAAAAGAACUGCCCGGGAAGGACAGGCAUGGGCUGGAAGAUGUGCUCUAUCUAGGAUGAGGGGACUCUGGUGGGCCAGUGAAGGGGACAAGCUCUUGGGACCCCAUGCAGACUUGGCUGGGAGGGAGACUUUGUAGGAUUGUGCACAGGCUUUGCCACCUCAUCUGUCUUUGCUUGUGGUAUUCCUUCUGAUAGGGCUGCUGCUUCUACUUAAAUCAUUUACGAUCCUGUUCAACUUACACCCUUUCCAGGAAUCCUUUCUUGAGUGGUCUUGCUUACUUUUUCUGGUCUAAAAUCAACAUCUUUUAUUUAUGUAUUUAUUUUUCUAGAUUAUUAUUUGAGAUAGGGUUUCACUGUAGCUCAGGCUGGCCUUCAACUCACAGCAUUUUUCCCGCCUCAGCCUCCCAAGUGCUGAGAUUACAGGAAUGUACUACCAUGCCAAGCUUAUUUACUAAUAUGUUUUUUAUUAGUACCUAUUAAUUUUACAAAAUAUUGGGUUUCAAUGUGGUAUUUUGAUACAUAACAACAUCUUUGUAUGUCACUCUCUUGAGUUAUUAUUGGGUUCUGAACAAAUUAGAAUUUUAUAGUAUUUGUGCAGAAAACUAUAGCUCAGUGUCUACUAUUUCCUAUGCAGUAUCCUUAGCUAGGUCGAAAAUUCUAAGGGACAUAGUAACACAUUACUUUUUCUUUUUUGUCUUUUUGAGACAGUGUUUUACUAUGUAGUUCAGGCUGGCCUUGAACUUACUUUGUAGCCAUGCUAGCCUCGAACUUGCAAUGAUCCUCCUGCCUCAGCCUCCCAAGUGCUGGAAUUAUCUGCGUGUACCACCAUGCCUGGCAAUAACACCUUACUGUUACCUGGUGUUUCAGAGCAACGUGGAAUAUAAAUCAAGAAAUAUUUUAAGUUCAAAAGUGUGUUUUAUGUCUAGGGUCUUGAUUCUACAGGGCCAAAAUAAUGAAACUUAAAGAGCUGCUUAUAAAAUAGGAAGAUAGCUGGGCGUAGUGGCACAAGCCUGUAAUCCCAGAACUCAGGGGGCUGAGGCAGGGGGAUUAUCAUGAGUUUGAGGCCCGCCUGGACUACAUAGUGAGUUCAUGGCCAGCCUGAACUACACAGCAAGACCUUGUUUCAGAAAAAAAAACAAACGUGCAAAGAUAGGUGGUAUGAAAUGGAAUUCAAGAGACCACGGUGCCAGGCUAGUUCUGUACCCAACACACUACAAGAGUGGGUAAAUCCCUUCUCUUUUGGUCUCGGGUUUCUCAACUAUGAAAUGCCAGUAACACCUCAGAUAAGUAAUGUCUCAAGCUGGGAUCCUCAGAGCCCCAGUUUCUCUGUGAUCCCUUAGGUUUAGCAAAGGUGAGUGGGAAAUUAAGGGGGUUCCAGUAUUUUCAAAUAGAGCAAUGCCAUAAAGUUCUCUGAGUUGGGCUUUGCUCUCUGACUGUGUUGGAAAAAGUUA
This is a long non-coding RNA of Cavia porcellus (domestic guinea pig), 5416 nucleotides long. RefSeq lists it as uncharacterized. Lineage: Eukaryota; Metazoa; Chordata; Mammalia; Rodentia; Caviidae. The transcript has 2 exons. The record is from RefSeq and is a predicted model, not a curated record.